UCUAGUCAUAUGGAUUCCUACGGGAGGCAGCAGUGGGGAAUUGUUCACAAUGGGCGCAAGCCUGAUGACGCAACGCCGCGUGGAGGAUGAAGGUCUUCGGAUUGUAAACUCCUGUUGCUCGGGACGAAAAGCUUCGACCUAAUACGUUGAUGUCUGACGGUACCGAGUGAGGAAGCCCCGGCUAACUCUGUGCCAGCAGCCGCGGUAAUACAGAGGGGGCAAGCGUUGUUCGGAAUUACUGGGCGUAAGGGCGCGUAGGCGGCCCGCUAAGUCGAACGUGAAAUCCCCGAGCUCAACUCGGGAACUGCGUCCGAUACUGGCGGGCUUGAAUCCGGGAGAGGGAUGCGGAAUUCCAGGUGUAGCGGUGAAAUGCGUAGAUAUCUGGAGGAACACCGGUGGCGAAGGCGGCAUCCUGGACCGGCAUUGACGCUGAGGCGCGAAAGCUAGGGGAGCAAACGGGAUUAGAUACCCCGGUAGUCCUAGCCCUAAACGAUGAAUGCUUGGUGUGGCGGGUAUCGAUCCCUGCCGUGCCGAAGCUAACGCAUUAAGCAUUCCGCCUGGGGAGUACGGUCACAAGGCUGAAACUCAAAGGAAUUGACGGGGGCCCGCACAAGCGGUGGAGCAUGUGGUUUAAUUCGACGCAACGCGAAGAACCUUACCCAGGCUUGAACUGCAGAGGACACUCUACGAAAGUAGACUUCCGCAAGGACCUCUGUAGAGGUGCUGCAUGGCUGUCGUCAGGUCGUGUCGUGAGAUGUUGGGUUAU
Molecule: ribosomal RNA, 766 nt
Filed under: uncultured Acidobacteriota bacterium
Lineage: Bacteria; Pseudomonadati; Acidobacteriota
Description: bacterial SSU rRNA
Rfam family: Bacterial small subunit ribosomal RNA
Source: RNAcentral